GGCCAUGUUGGUUAACAGAUCCUCAUCUGCUGGACGUCUGGCGAUGAUCUUUAUCGGUUGUCGUCAGUUGCCAGCACGUUUACUUUGAGAAAAUUAGAGUGCUAAAAGCAGGCUCACGCCUAUAUAUAUUGCAUGGAAUAAUGAAAUAAGAUCUCGAUUUUAUUUCGUUGGUUUUAGAAAUUGAGAUAAUGAUUAAUAGGAUCAGAGGGGGGCGUACGUACUGUGGUGUGAGAGGUGAAAUUCUUGGAUCGCCACAGGACGAACAGCAGCGAAGGCGUUCGCCAAGAAUGUUUUCAUUAAUCAAGAACGAAAGUUUGAGGUUCGAAGACGAUUAGAUACCGUCCUAGUUCAAACCAUAAACGUUGCCAACUGCCUUUUAGAUGCGGUUAUUUAUAUGACUCAUCUGGCGGAUCUCGAGAAAUCUAAGUUUUUAGGUUCCGGGGGAAGUAUGGUUGCAAAGCUGAAACUUAAAAGAAUUGACGGAAGGACACACAAGAAGUGGAGCCUGUGGCCUAAUUUGACUCAACACGGGAAACCUUACUCGGCCAGGACACUUUUAGGAUUGACAGAUUGAGAGCUCUUUCUUGAUUAGGUGGGUGGUGGUGCAUGGUCGUUCGUAGUUCGUGGAGCGAUUUGUCUGAUUAAUUUCGAUAACGAACGAGACUCCGGCUUACUAAAUAGUCUAAAGUUCGAAGGGACUUUUCAAGACUUCUUAGCAGGAUAAGUGG
Molecule: ribosomal RNA, 728 nt
Filed under: uncultured eukaryote
Lineage: Eukaryota
Description: SSU rRNA
Rfam family: Eukaryotic small subunit ribosomal RNA
Source: RNAcentral